Molecule: long non-coding RNA, 756 nt
Filed under: Homo sapiens (human)
Lineage: Eukaryota; Metazoa; Chordata; Mammalia; Primates; Hominidae
Description: non-protein coding lnc-MRPS23-3:4
Source: RNAcentral
CCAGAGAUGUAAGCUGGGCGAGAGUGUCAGGGCCUGGCCAUACCACUGACCUCAGGAAAAUGAGCCUGGGGGACAGUACUAAGGGUGUGGGGGGUCAGGUGGGUGUGUCAGGUACCUCCAGAGCUUUGAGGGGUGGGGCAGAGAGUCAGUGGGACUGGGAGGACUAGGGCAGUGUCCCCUCAUCCCUGGGACGGUUUUCCUGAAUGGCCUGGCAGGCUGGGGGCUGCCGCGUCAACAGCCAACCUCCUGGAUGAUGUGGAGGGCCACGCGUGUGAUGAAGACUUCCGGGGCAGGCGUCAGGAGGCACCCAAGGUGGAGGAAGGCCUGCGAGAAGGACAGUAAGAGAUGCCAGCAGCUCUUCCUUGCCAGAGAUGAUCUGACCCGGUGGGGGCAGCUGGAAAGCAACACUGGCCCCCAGCUGAAGGGCCCAGCUGCAGCCAGACAGAUGGUGCUUGAGAACCGAGGCCCGGUGAUCCUCCAGCCACAGUCCAGCCCAACCACUGCCACUUUCCAUGGGACUUAGAACUUCGGAGUUGCUGCCUUGCAAUUGGAGGAAGGACCUGGGGCCCCUAUAGGCAGCAGCCAAUUACAGCCCCUUUUGUAGCCAGGCGUUCCUAUGGUCAAAGAGUGGAAAUGCAGGAACCAACCUCCCUUUAAAAAAAAAAAAAUCCAGAAAGCAGAUAAAAGUUGGAAUAUGGAAAAGGGCAAGAUGACCCCCACCAGAGGCUCUUUGGCCUGAAGGUGGAGUCUCUGCCU